This 433-nucleotide ribosomal RNA is filed under the name uncultured bacterium. RNAcentral's name for it is "partial 16S ribosomal RNA". It matches the Rfam family "Bacterial small subunit ribosomal RNA", at positions 29 to 507 of the family's 1533-position model. The record is from RNAcentral.
AGCGAACGCUGGCGGCAGGCCUAACACAUGCAAGUCGAACGAACUCUUCGGAGUUAGUGGCGGACGGGUGAGUAACACGUUGGAACGUGCCUUUAGGUUCGGAAUAACUCAGGGAAACAUGUGCUAAUACCGAAUGUGCCCUUCGGGGGAAAGAUUUAUCGCCUUUAGAGCGGCCCGCGUCUGAUUAGCUAGUUGGUGAGGUAAAGGCUCACCAAGGCGACGAUCAGUAGCUGGUCUGAGAGGAUGAUCAGCCACAUUGGGACUGAGACACGGCCCAAACUCCUACGGGAGGCAGCAGUGGGGAAUCUUGCGCAAUGGGCGAAAGCCUGACGCAGCCAUGCCGCGUGAAUGAUGAAGGUCUUAGGAUUGUAAAAUUCUUUCACCGGGGACGAUAAUGACGGUACCCGGAGAAGAAGCCCCGGCUAACUUCGUG